UCAAAUAUAUAGUGAUUAUUCUGAAAUUCUUUUGGAGCCAAAAACCUAAAAAAAAUUAAGCGCCAAAAGACAGUUUCUUUCUCCACUUUUUGGCUUUCUGUACUUUCUUUGGUGGGCAAAUUUGAAGAAGUGAAGGAAGUUGUGCCUCGAAUUAACCCAUUCACCCUGAAACUUAGGAAGUGGAGAAGUGCUCGACCAACCUGAGUUUUGUAUAUUAUUAACAUUAAUAAUUAUUUUAAUAUAUUUCAAAAGGGUAUAAAUGUCCAUAACUAAGCAUCCAGAUAAAUCAAUUUCAAAAUGAGCUUAACUCGUACAUAGUGUCGAAACUCGAAAAUGAACUUUUGAAAUAAAAUAAAAAAUUAAAAGCCAUUUUUAGAGAAAAAAAAGAUCGCCUAAGAAUGAUAAUACUCUUGCUUGUCUAUUUGAGUGCACAUCAAUCUUUGUGUUGUUUAGCUAAAAUUUGCACCAAAAAUUAGCACAAUACUAAUUUGAAGUAUGAAAUAGAUCUGAUCGAAUUUACAAUAUCCAACACUAAGCUGUGAAUGAAACAAUACAAAAGUAUAGAUCAUAAUAGAUGAAGGAAGUGGAUAUCAUACUUGUAACAUUGAGCACAUCUGU
This 618-nucleotide long non-coding RNA is filed under the name Solanum tuberosum (potato). RNAcentral's name for it is "long non-coding RNA (STUB_LNC004689)". Lineage: Eukaryota; Viridiplantae; Streptophyta; Magnoliopsida; Solanales; Solanaceae. The record is from RNAcentral.